UACGUAGGUGGCAAGCGUUGUCCGGAUUUAUUGGGCGUAAAGCGAGCGCAGGCGGAAAAAUAAGUCUAAUGUGAAAGCCCUCGGCUUAACCGAGGAAUUGCAUCGGAAACUGUUUUUCUUGAGUGCAGAAGAGGAGAGUGGAACUCCAUGUGUGGCGGUGGAAUGCGUAGAUAUAUGGAAGAACACCAGUGGCGAAGGCGGCUCUCUGGUCUGCAACUGACGCUGAGGCUCGAAAGCAUGGGUAGCGAACAGGAUUAGAUACCCUGGUAGUCCAUGCCGUAAACGAUGAGUGCUAAGUGUUGGGAGGUUUCCGCCUCUCAGUGCUGCAGCUAACGCAUUAAGCAUUCCGCCUGGGGAGUACGGUCGCAAGAUUAAAACUCAAAGGAAUUGACGGGGGCCCGCACAAGCAGCGGAGCAUGUGGUUUAAUUCGAAGCAACGCGAAGAACCUUACCUAGACUUGACAUCUCCUGCAUUACUCUUAAUCGAGGAAGUCCCUUCGGGGACAGGAUGACAGGUGGUGCAUGGUUGUCGUCAGCUCGUGUCGUGAGAUGUUGGGUUAAGUCCCGCAACGAGCGCAACCCUUAUUGUUAGUUGCCAUCAUUAAGUUGGGCACUCUAGCGAGACUGCCCGGGUUAACCGGGAGGAAGGUGGGGAUGACGUCAAAUCAUCAUGCCCCUUAUGUCUAGGGCUACACACGUGCUACAAUGGUCGGUACAAUAAGACGCAAGCCCGCGAGGGGGAGCAAAACUGGAAAACCGAUCUCAGUUCGGGUUGUAGGCUGAAACUCGCCUACAUGAAGCUGGAGUUGCUAGUAAUCGCGAAUCAGCAUGUCGCGGUGAUACGUUCCCGGGCCUUGCACACACCGCC
Molecule: ribosomal RNA, 868 nt
Filed under: uncultured Bacillota bacterium
Lineage: Bacteria; Bacillati; Bacillota
Description: bacterial SSU rRNA
Rfam family: Bacterial small subunit ribosomal RNA
Source: RNAcentral